GACGAACCGAGCGAACGUUGUUCGGAAUCACUGGGCUUAAAGGGCGCGUAGGCGGGUGCUCAAGUCUGUGGUGAAAUCCUCCGGCUCAACCGGAGAACUGCCAUGGAUACUGGGUGUCUCGAGGGUGGUAGGGGUAUGCGGAACUAUCGGUGGAGCGGUGAAAUGCGUUGAUAUCGAUAGGAACUCCCGUGGCGAAGGCGGCUCUCUGGAACGCAACUGACGCUGAGACGCGAAAGCGUGGGGAGCAAACAGG
Molecule: ribosomal RNA, 253 nt
Filed under: uncultured bacterium
Lineage: Bacteria
Description: partial 16S ribosomal RNA
Rfam family: Bacterial small subunit ribosomal RNA
Source: RNAcentral